GUCACCUUGGUGUAGGGGUUAUCACGCAUGCUUCACACGCAUGAGGCCGCCGGUUCGAUUCCGGCAGGUGACA
Absidia repens is the source of this 73-nucleotide transfer RNA. It matches the Rfam family "tRNA". From Rfam's summary of the family: Transfer RNA (tRNA) molecules are approximately 80 nucleotides in length. Their secondary structure includes four short double-helical elements and three loops (D, anti-codon, and T loops). The record is from Rfam. NCBI's taxonomy places the organism in Eukaryota, Fungi, Mucoromycota, Mucoromycetes, Mucorales, Cunninghamellaceae.